Molecule: ribosomal RNA, 251 nt
Filed under: uncultured prokaryote
Description: partial 16S rRNA
Rfam family: Bacterial small subunit ribosomal RNA
Source: RNAcentral
ACGGAGGGUGCAAGCGUUAUCCGGAUUUAUUGGGUUUAAAGGGUCCGUAGGCGGACUUAUAAGUCAGUGGUGAAAGCCUGUCGCUUAACGAUAGAACUGCCAUUGAUACUGUAAGUCUUGAGUAUAUUUGAGGUAGCUGGAAUAAGUAGUGUAGCGGUGAAAUGCAUAGAUAUUACUUAGAACACCAAUUGCGAAGGCAGGUUACCAAGAUAUAACUGACGCUGAGGGACGAAAGCGUGGGGAGCGAACAG